RNAcentral lists this ribosomal RNA (435 nucleotides) under uncultured bacterium. RNAcentral describes it as "bacterial SSU rRNA". It matches the Rfam family "Bacterial small subunit ribosomal RNA", at positions 29 to 507 of the family's 1533-position model. The record is from RNAcentral.
AACGAACGCUGGCGGCAGGCUUAACACAUGCAAGUCGAACGGACGUAGCAAUACGUUAGUGGCAGACGGGUGAGUAACGCGUGGGAAUGUGCCCUUUAGUUCGGAAUAACACAGAGAAAUUUGUGCUAAUACCGGAUAAUCCCGAGAGGGGAAAGAUUUAUCGCUGAAGGAGCAGCCCGCGUCUGAUUAGCUAGUUGGUGAGGUAAUGGCUCACCAAGGCGACGAUCAGUAGCUGGUCUGAGAGGAUGAUCAGCCACACUGGGACUGAGACACGGCCCAGACUCCUACGGGAGGCAGCAGUGGGGAAUAUUGGACAAUGGGGGCAACCCUGAUCCAGCCAUGCCGCGUGAGUGAUGAAGGCCUUAGGGUUGUAAAACUCUUUUGUCCGGGAAGAUAAUGACUGUACCGGAAGAAUAAGCCCCGGCUAACUUCGUG